ACAUCCAGAUUUUACUGUUCAAAGAAUUAUCGCCUCAAUCUUAUCAAUGAAAGGUCCUUCUUUGUGUUUCCCAUAUCUGAGAAUGUAGAGAUCACAAAACUCGACAAAACAUGGGUUAGACUUCAUCGUCGCUGAUCAACAGGUGUGCUGAACUUAAUCAGGGGGAUAGGAACCUGAAGUUGAUUUGCUUAGAUCACUUUCUAUGGCAGAUCCAAUUCUUACAAGGACGGAGGAAGCUUUGCGAUGGCCAAUGAGAGCCCUGACCUGAAAAUAAAACAACAAGAGGCAUUCAGUGAAGCCUCAGGUUUGACGACAAAAAAAUUAUGUUCAGUCAAGCCUCAAAAUAUGCCAUACCGAAGACCUAUGUGCCCAAAAUAAUAAAUCAGAAUGGAGUCGGCACGCUCUAGAUAUAUGGCUCUGAGGUAGAGAAGGUGAUCUGCUUCACUGGAAUCUACUUUCGGAUGGUGGUGUCUGAAGAAUUGAUGUUUGAUUACACCUCUACUUAUAUCCUGUAGUUUGCUUCUGCGUCAGUUUUCUGGGCUGAGAAGUUUGAGUUCUGUAAUGGUUUUGCCUGGGUGUAUUGGCUUGCUCCUGCGGGGCACUUAGUUCUACAAUCUGUAAUCGAUCU
Long non-coding RNA from Lolium rigidum, 628 nucleotides. RefSeq lists it as uncharacterized. The record is from RefSeq and is a predicted model, not a curated record. The transcript has 4 exons. NCBI's taxonomy places the organism in Eukaryota, Viridiplantae, Streptophyta, Magnoliopsida, Poales, Poaceae.